GAUGAAGAACGUAGUAAAAUGCGAUAAGUAAUGUGAAUUGCAGAAUUCAGUGAAUCAUCGAAUCUUUGAACGCACAUUGCGCCCGCUGGUAUUCCGGCGGGCAUGCCUGUUCGAGCGUCAUUUCAACCCUCAAGCCCCCGGGUUUGGUGUUGGGGAUCGGCUCUGCCUUCUGGCGGUGCCGCCCCCGAAAUACAUUGGCGGUCUCGCUGCAGCCUCCAUUGCGUAGUAGCUAACACCUCGCAACUGGAACGCGGCGCGGCCAUGCCGUAAAACCCCAACUUCUGAAUGUUGACCUCGGAUCAGGUAGGAAUACCCGCUGAACUUAAGCAUAUCAAUAAGCGGAGGA
RNAcentral lists this unclassified non-coding RNA (346 nucleotides) under soil metagenome. Its description in RNAcentral is "partial contains 5.8S ribosomal RNA, internal transcribed spacer 2, and large subunit ribosomal RNA". The stretch from base 1 to 120 matches the Rfam family "5.8S ribosomal RNA", at positions 35 to 154 of the family's 154-position model. The record is from RNAcentral.